CCUACGUGUGGCAGCAGUGGGGAAUAUUGCGCAAUGGGCGAAAGCCUGACGCAGCGACGCCGCGUGAGGGAUGAAGGUCUUCGGAUCGUAAACCUCUGUCAGCAGGGAAGAACGGUCACUGUGCUAGUCAGCAGUGAAUUGACGGUACCUGCAAAGGAAGCACCGGCUAACUCCGUGCCAGCAGCCGCGGUAAUACGGAGGGUGCGGGCGUUAAUCGGAAUUACUGGGCGUAAAGCGCUCGUAGGCGGUAUGUCAAGUCAAGGGUGAAAUCCCCGCGCUUAACGUGGGAACUGCCUUUGAAACUGGCAAACUGGAGUGUGUGAGAGGAUAGUGGAAUUCCAGGUGUAGGAGUGAAAUCCGUAGAGAUCUGGAGGAACAUCAGUGGCGAAGGCGACUAUCUGGCACAUAACUGACGCUGAGGAGCGAAAGCGUGGGUAGCAAACAGGAUUAGAUACCCCAGUAGUC
RNAcentral lists this ribosomal RNA (465 nucleotides) under uncultured bacterium. RNAcentral describes it as "partial 16S ribosomal RNA". It matches the Rfam family "Bacterial small subunit ribosomal RNA", at positions 338 to 795 of the family's 1533-position model. The record is from RNAcentral.